GAUGAACAAAACUAUUUCUAAGAAUGGAAUAUAUAAAAAUGGUUAAAGCAUAGUCCCUUGUGAAAAAGUAUCUGAGAAACAAAACUACUUACUGUGAAAAAUUACCCAGGGCUUUCUCAACAAGGUCCUUAGCUUGGGUCUGUCUCAGAAUACAUUUCUUUCUCACUACGUUUACUGGGUUCAAUAGUGUCCCACCAAAAUUCACAUCCAGCCGGAACCUGCAAAUGUGACUAAAAAUUCUGGUCACAAAUUCCAAUGUGUGUGUGGUGGGGGUGGGGGGAUUUCCUCACACCUCAUCACCAAGUAAUUCCCUGGACACCAGGAAUUCUACUCACUGCUGCUGAUCCUGCCUCAUUUCCCGUCUUCAUCUUUCCCUGCUUCCACAUGGUGGGAUCUGUCAGUUCCCCAGCUAUCCAUCUCAAAACCAUACCUGACCAGUUUGAAGGCAGCAUGAGCUCUAUAAUUUGCUACAAUUCAUAAACAGAAGAGAGAAGGGGAGGGAAAGCCAGUGUAUAAUAUGCAAGGCAUUAAGAUCAAUUUCUCUGUAUCCAGUGUGACCUUUGCCUCAGAGCUGAGCUCGUUUUGGAGCUGUCCUUGGUGCUUACCUCAGACCUGGAACUCAAUUUUCAGGACUGAUCCAGCCUGCAGUUUCCUCAUAAUGAGGAGUCUAUUUUUCAUGAACCAGGUGCCUCUCUGCCCACCUUGGAACCCUGCCACUAUCCCUACAUGGACUUGCAGGAAAAUAUGCCAAUUCCACCCUCCCUUGCUCUCCUCUGCUAUGUUUUUCUCUCUCACUCUCUCCAUAAUUCUUCCUCAGUACAGUUUUCUUGGCAUAUCUCCCUACUUAGACAUACAUCCAAACAGUAAUUUCUAUGAUGAGUGUAAGUGGUUGGUAUGGCAAGAAAAAACACAGAGCUGGAUGUUAGAAAUCCUGGAUUUUAGAUUUUAGUUAUGGCUCUAAUAUUAACGAGCCCUGUGACUUGACUAAGUCAUGUAAAAUCUCAGAAAUCUGCUUUCCCAUUUAUAAAGUUGAGAUAAUCACAUAAUCUCUAUAUUACCACAGAGGGUAGUUGUAAGGCUCACAUAAGAUGAUAAUAUGUGAAAACUCUGG
This 1111-nucleotide long non-coding RNA is filed under the name Equus caballus (horse). RNAcentral describes it as "lncRNA (ENSECAG00000041062.2)". Lineage: Eukaryota; Metazoa; Chordata; Mammalia; Perissodactyla; Equidae. The record is from RNAcentral.